GAUGAACGCUGGCGGCGUGCCUAACACAUGCAAGUCGAACGAAGCACUUUGUUACGAUCCCUUCGGGGUGACGACUUUGUGACUGAGUGGCGGACGGGUGAGUAACGCGUGGGAAACCUGCCCUAUACCGGGGGAUAACAGUUGGAAACGACUGCUAAUACCGCAUAAGCGCACGAGAUGGCAUCAUCUCGUGUGAAAAACUCCGGUGGUAUAGGAUGGUCCCGCGUCUGAUUAGCUAGUUGGUGAGGUAACGGCCCACCAAGGCGACGAUCAGUAGCCGACCUGAGAGGGUGACCGGCCACAUUGGGACUGAGACACGGCCCAAACUCCUACGGGAGGCAGCAGUGGGGAAUAUUGCACAAUGGGCGAAAGCCUGAUGCAGCGACGCCGCGUGAGCGAUGAAGUAUUUCGGUAUGUAAAGCUCUAUCAGCAGGAAGAACAAAUGACGUAC
RNAcentral lists this ribosomal RNA (451 nucleotides) under bacterium XBB1002. RNAcentral describes it as "bacterial SSU rRNA". It matches the Rfam family "Bacterial small subunit ribosomal RNA", at positions 28 to 460 of the family's 1533-position model. The record is from RNAcentral.